Molecule: long non-coding RNA, 680 nt
Organism: Chenopodium quinoa (quinoa)
Lineage: Eukaryota; Viridiplantae; Streptophyta; Magnoliopsida; Caryophyllales; Amaranthaceae
Exons: 6
Source: RefSeq, a predicted model, not a curated record
UCGGACACGUGAUGUAGUUUGCUUAACCUGCAUCUUCUCAAUUCAUUUUAGGGAAAAACAUAACUGCCGCUUCUGAACAAGUAGAAACCCUCGUUCUCAACAUUAAUUUCCAUUACUCAUCGUCAAUGUUAAUCAAAUACGUCCCUUUGUUCAGAUCGAUGAUUUGAGCAUGGAUGACUACAUCAAAGUAUGUAUAUAUAUUAAGUCUUAUCUGCAAUACUUAGAGUCAUUUCAUAAUGGCAGAAGCUUUAAAUUAUGUCACUAUUAUGGAGGUGGUACUGGUACACGUUCUGGUGUGGGAACUUUCUUCAUUUCCAAAGUGAAAGAAGAGUGCACAGGAAUUCAAAGAUCAACAAUCCAAGAUGUAAGCAUAUUUUCUUAAGGUUCAAUGCACUAGUCUAUAAUCUGAACUUUGUUUUACGCCCACCUACAAGCUUAUUAAGGAGCAGCUGGAUUAUUGGAGAUUGAUUGAAGAUUUUUUUUUUGUGAAGAAAUGAGCUUGGCUAGACAUGACGACAAAUUAACUCAUUGAUUAAGAAGAAAUCCUUCUAAAUGUGCUGUUAAAAUCCAUAACUAAUAGCUUAGAAACAUUUUUGUGCUAUUUUUGCUUGUAUGAAUAUUCGAGUGUAAAGGAAGAUAUUAAUAAAUUUAUAUAAUAAAAUGAGAUUUUUGUUUAUUAA